AUUUAUAUAGUUUAAUAAAAACUUUAAUUUUGUAAAUUAAAUAUAACUUUAUGUUUAUAAAUA
Molecule: transfer RNA, 63 nt
Filed under: Haplothrips aculeatus
Lineage: Eukaryota; Metazoa; Arthropoda; Insecta; Thysanoptera; Phlaeothripidae
Description: tRNA-Thr
Source: RNAcentral